GAUGAACGCUAGCUACAGGCUUAACACAUGCAAGUCGAGGGGCAGCAUGGUCUUAGCUUGCUAAGGCCGAUGGCGACCGGCGCACGGGUGAGUAACACGUAUCCAACCUGCCGUCUACUCUUGGACAGCCUUCUGAAAGGAAGAUUAAUACAAGAUGGCAUCAUGAGUCCGCAUGUUCACAUGAUUAAAGGUAUUCCGGUAGACGAUGGGGAUGCGUUCCAUUAGAUAGUAGGCGGGGUAACGGCCCACCUAGUCUUCGAUGGAUAGGGGUUCUGAGAGGAAGGUCCCCCACAUUGGAACUGAGACACGGUCCAAACUCCUACGGGAGGCAGCAGUGAGGAAUAUUGGUCAAUGGGCGAGAGCCUGAACCAGCCAAGUAGCGUGAAGGAUGACUGCCCUAUGGGUUGUAAACUUCUUUUAUAAAGGAAUAAAGUCGGGUAUGGGUACCCGUUUGCAUGUACUUUAUGAAUAAGGAUCGGCUAACUCCGUG
This 490-nucleotide ribosomal RNA is filed under the name uncultured bacterium. RNAcentral's name for it is "partial 16S ribosomal RNA". It matches the Rfam family "Bacterial small subunit ribosomal RNA", at positions 28 to 507 of the family's 1533-position model. The record is from RNAcentral.